Molecule: unclassified non-coding RNA, 189 nt
Filed under: Amphinema diadema
Lineage: Eukaryota; Fungi; Basidiomycota; Agaricomycetes; Atheliales; Atheliaceae
Also listed under: 1 other name
Description: partial internal transcribed spacer 2
Source: RNAcentral
AAUCCUCAACCCUCCCUUGCGGGUGUGGCUUGGACUUGGAGCGUGCUGGCGAAGGUCGGCUCCUCUUUAAAUGCAUCAGCGGAAAGCUUUUCUGGCCGUUCGGCGUGAUAACACUGUUGCGCCGUGGAAGCCUCUGUAAAGGCCUCGCUUACAAUCGUCUUCGGACAAACGACAUCUCAGUCAAAUCCA